Molecule: ribosomal RNA, 301 nt
Filed under: uncultured bacterium
Lineage: Bacteria
Description: partial 16S ribosomal RNA
Rfam family: Bacterial small subunit ribosomal RNA
Source: RNAcentral
CAGUAGCCGCGGUAAUACGGAGGGUGCAAGCGUUAAUCGGAAUUACUGGGCGUAAAGCGCACGCAGGCGGUUUGUUAAGUCAGAUGUGAAAUCCCCGAGCUUAACUUGGGAACUGCAUUUGAAACUGGCAAGCUAGAGUCUUGUAGAGGGGGGUAGAAUUCCAGGUGUAGCGGUGAAAUGCGUAGAGAUCUGGAGGAAUACCGGUGGCGAAGGCGGCCCCCUGGACAAAGACUGACGCUCAUGCACGAAAGCGUGGGGAGCAAACAGGAUUAGAUACCCCCGUAGUCCUGUCUCUUAUACA